This 88-nucleotide small RNA is filed under the name Bombyx mori (domestic silkworm). RNAcentral describes it as "Bm_181". Lineage: Eukaryota; Metazoa; Arthropoda; Insecta; Lepidoptera; Bombycidae. The record is from RNAcentral.
AACUACAAAGUGAAUAAUAAAAAUGCUCAUAAUCGAGUUUUAGUUCUUUUUUAAACGUCUCCAGCUUUGUUGCUAAGAGGACGUAUUU